RNAcentral lists this ribosomal RNA (266 nucleotides) under uncultured Acidobacteriota bacterium. RNAcentral's name for it is "uncultured Acidobacteria bacterium partial 16S ribosomal RNA". It matches the Rfam family "Bacterial small subunit ribosomal RNA", at positions 1111 to 1375 of the family's 1533-position model. The record is from RNAcentral. Lineage: Bacteria; Pseudomonadati; Acidobacteriota.
UUAGUUGCCAUCAGGUUAUGCUGGGCACUCUAAAGGGACUGCCGGUGAAAAACCGGAGGAAGGUGGGGAUGACGUCAAGUCCUCAUGGCCUUUAUGUCCAGGGCUACACACGUACUACAAUGGAUGGCACAAUGAGUCGCAAACUCGCGAGAGGGAGCCAAUCUCAAAAAACCAUUCUCAGUUCGGAUUGCAGUCAAGAGGAGGAACUGCAUGAAGCUGGAAUCGCUAGUAAUCGCUGAUCAGCAAGCAGCGGUGAAUACGUUCCC